Molecule: ribosomal RNA, 250 nt
Filed under: uncultured bacterium
Lineage: Bacteria
Description: partial 16S ribosomal RNA
Rfam family: Bacterial small subunit ribosomal RNA
Source: RNAcentral
GACGAACCGUCCAAACGUUAUUCGGUAUCACUGGGCUUAAAGCGUGCGUAGGCGGCCUGGUAGGUGAGGUGUGAAAGCCCACGGCUCAACCGUGGAACAGCGCUUCAAACCACCAGGCUUGAGGAUGGCAGGGGUGAUGGGAACUGAUGGUGGAGCGGUGAAAUGCGUUGAUAUCAUCAGGAACACCGGUGGCGAAAGCGCAUCACUGGGCCAUUUCUGACGCUGAGGCACGAAAGCUAGGGUAGCGAAC